RNAcentral lists this ribosomal RNA (698 nucleotides) under uncultured bacterium. Its description in RNAcentral is "bacterial SSU rRNA". It matches the Rfam family "Bacterial small subunit ribosomal RNA", at positions 62 to 756 of the family's 1533-position model. The record is from RNAcentral.
UCGACGGCAGCGGGGGCUUCGGCCUGCCGGCGAGUGGCGAACGGGUGAGUAAUGCAUCGGAACGUACCCAGUCAUGGGGGAUAACUACGCGAAAGCGUAGCUAAUACCGCAUACGCCCUGAGGGGGAAAGCGGGGGACCGCAAGGCCUCGCGUGAUUGGAGCGGCCGAUGUCGGAUUAGCUAGUUGGUGGGGUAAAGGCCUACCAAGGCGACGAUCCGUAGCGGGUCUGAGAGGAUGAUCCGCCACACUGGGACUGAGACACGGCCCAGACUCCUACGGGAGGCAGCAGUGGGGAAUUUUGGACAAUGGGGGCAACCCUGAUCCAGCCAUGCCGCGUGAGUGAAGAAGGCCUUCGGGUUGUAAAGCUCUUUCAGACGGAAAGAAAUCGGGUGGGUGAAUAUCCUGCCUAGAUGACGGUACUGUCAGAAGAAGCACCGGCUAACUACGUGCCAGCAGCCGCGGUAAUACGUAGGGUGCGAGCGUUAAUCGGAGUUACUGGGCGUAAAGCGUGCGCAGGCGGUUGUGUAAGACAGGUGUGAAAUCCCCGGGCUUAACCUGGGAACUGCGCUUGUGACUGCACGGCUAGAGUACGGCAGAGGGGGGUGGAAUUCCACGUGUAGCAGUGAAAUGCGUAGAUAUGUGGAGGAACACCGAUGGCGAAGGCAGCCCCCUGGGCCGAUACUGACGCUCAUGCACGA